Molecule: non-coding RNA, 114 nt
Organism: Acanthosepion pharaonis
Lineage: Eukaryota; Metazoa; Mollusca; Cephalopoda; Sepiida; Sepiidae
Source: the annotation of a GenBank genome assembly
UUACGGCCAUACCACGUUGAAACAUCGGUUCUCGUACAAUCACCGUAGUUAAGCAACGUCGAGGCUGGUCAGUACAUAGAUGAAUGACUGCUUGGGAAUACGAGGUGCUGUAAG